GUAUUUGUCUACAAUGCCCGAAACAACCUACAAACGUGGAAUGUGGGUUCUAUGUUAUGAAAUACAUGAAAGAUGUGAUUAGAGAUGAGAGGAUCUUAAGCAGAGGAAAUUUCAAUGGAAAAAAAACUUACAUGAAAGCCGAAAUUGAUGAAGUGCGAGCCGAGUGGAUAAAGUCUGUCAUGAACGAAGUAUAAUCAACUUAUACAUGCAUGCUCUGAGAAUGACGAAGUGCUUGAAAUUGGCUUCAGAGAAUGACGAAGUGCGAUUCGUUGUAGCUUAGGACAUAACUCCAUGCUUGUGGUUCAAGUUUUCUUUGUCUUUUUUGUUGUUGAAGCUUUUGUUCUGCAUUUUUUUAUGCAUUUUCAGAAAUUUAAUUGAUCUUAUAUUGAAAGUAGGCUUUCUGGCAC
Molecule: long non-coding RNA, 407 nt
Organism: Rhododendron vialii
Lineage: Eukaryota; Viridiplantae; Streptophyta; Magnoliopsida; Ericales; Ericaceae
Exons: 3
Source: RefSeq, a predicted model, not a curated record